This is a non-coding RNA of Danionella cerebrum, 69 nucleotides long. The record is from the annotation of a GenBank genome assembly. NCBI's taxonomy places the organism in Eukaryota, Metazoa, Chordata, Actinopteri, Cypriniformes, Danionidae.
UCCUGUGGCUCUGAGCGGUAGAGCGCUGUGCUAGCAACACAAAGGUCUUGGGUUCAAACCUCAGGGGAA